GAGAUGAGUGGGACACUGAUGGAAAGUGGUAGGGACCACAGCUGUUCUGAAUAAAAUGCCUUGAAAGAAGAUGCUAUAACAAGAUAAUCUUAGAAUGGAAGUUGGAAAUGUUAGGCUCUUGCUGCCCCUGACAAUGGAAGCUCUACUGUCUCUGAAGCAAGACACGCUGAUGGCUGAGAUUCCUUGCUGCACUGCUCCUGGUUCACCUUGGGAUCAGCUGCACUUUUGGUCAUUCCCGCUCCUUUCAAAACCCGUCUCUCGUACCACAGUCGACACUGCAGUUCUGUCUCACGAAAUGCCUGCUCGCAGAAAUCUCCAGAUGUGGUUUAGAGCUCCUCCCUGCCACUCAUGUGCCCCAGCGUUUUGCUGUCCGGUGCUGGUUGACUGUACGUGCUUGCUCAGCGACACUGGGUCCACCCAAACUUCCCUGGGUUCCUCAAUCAACUUUUUCUAAAUUGUUCCAGGAGCGGCAGCCUUUGGCUGACUCACUGAAGCCCUAUUAACUGAAUAAUAGGACAUUUCCCACUGCUUUACCUGGCAUCUGCUUUCAUUAAGUAAUAUUAAAGUUUUCAUUAGUAAUAUAAUCAAAGUAAAUAAAAGCCUGAAGUCAGUAAUGCUCCUACUGAUUUAUGUCACCAGUUGUAAGAAAAAUUGAAAUCAGACCUUUAAUUAGCCAGGUGAUUAAGUACCAAAUGACUUUCUGGGAGUGAGAGCAGACACCCAAGAUACAUUUACCAAAACUUAGGUAGAAAAUGCACUCGUGUUUCAAAUGGCACCUCAUAUUAGGUGGCAUUUACAAAAACAUGUAACUGUACAAUGUUGAAAUGAUGGGGCAGCCCUUUAAUAAAUCAUGUGCAAAAAAGGCGUUUUGCGAACAGAAUCUGCACUUCAGGCAUAUUCUUAUUAUUACUUAAACCCAGAGUCGACCGAAAGGGAAAACUCUCGUUGCCAACUGUGACAGACUGCAGCACUGCACUAACAGGAAGGCUAUUUUAGUUCUGAAUUGGGAACUGGAUUACUUAUUCAAAAAGUAGUUUUCAAAACUGCAAAACUAUGUUCUUGUUCCCUUUGCAGUAUGUUCCUAACUGUAUCCUUUUCACUGCACAAUUUCAAAGGAUUGUGUCUUUGCUAUAUAUACACACAGCACCUUGGUUUCUGAAAUUGGUUUCCCCCAAUUUCUGGCUGGUUUGAACAACCCUGACUUGUUUCCCAUAUACCUAUUUCAAUAACAUCCCAGCAGCUGACAGCAGGCACCUUGGACCGGGCUUCACAUCAGCCUUCGGAACAGCUGCCGGGAAAAGGACAGUAUUUCUGAGCUACAGAUGGGUAUGCUUGCCGUGGAUGUUACAGUUUAGGUUCGUGCUACUGCA
Long non-coding RNA from Harpia harpyja (harpy eagle), 1370 nucleotides. RefSeq lists it as uncharacterized. The transcript has 3 exons. The record is from RefSeq and is a predicted model, not a curated record. NCBI's taxonomy places the organism in Eukaryota, Metazoa, Chordata, Aves, Accipitriformes, Accipitridae.